This 487-nucleotide long non-coding RNA is filed under the name Solanum tuberosum (potato). RNAcentral's name for it is "long non-coding RNA (STUB_LNC003402)". Lineage: Eukaryota; Viridiplantae; Streptophyta; Magnoliopsida; Solanales; Solanaceae. The record is from RNAcentral.
UAAGGUUUUUUUUUUUUUUUUUUUUUUUUUUUUUUUUUAAUGUCUCAUGUGAUCAUUGAUGUGCAAAAAGUUACAAUUUUGAGUUUGGCAUUCCAAACUUUGUACAUGAUCAUUGAGAAGAGACUAGAGCUCUAGAGACUAACAAAAUAAGGAAAUUAUACACAAUUCAAGGUGGAUCAUACACAAAAUGAGAAGGUUUAAUUUUAAUCUGUCUAAAGGAUGGGAGACUCCAUUUGUCCAUAUUGAUUAGCCCUCGAAUGUUGCUGGGGAGAUUAGAGAAGAGGGUGAAGACCUUGAUUUCCUCAAUUUUGUGACUUAGCGAGGCUAAUGCAUUAGCUGGCUGGUUAGCCUCUCUAAAACAGUGGACGAUACUAAAUUUAUGGUCCUCAAUCAUCUUUUGAAUCUCCUGUACCUGGUUGCUGAUUUUCCAAGGGGGUUUCCACUCUCUUUUUACAGUUUUGGAUAAAAGUAAUGAGUCUGUUUCUCC